CCAUGAGAGGAGGCAGACUGGGAGUAUUUUGCUUCUCCCAGGAGAACAUCAUCUGGGCCAACCUGCGCUACAGAUGCAAUGAUACAAUCCCCGAGGACUUUGAGACAUUCAGAAGCCAGCAAAUCCAGCUUUUUUGAACCCAAUCUCAACAGUUCUUUUUUACAAGAUUAAUGAAUGUGAGUUGUAUAUUUCUGUCAUGUGUGUCAUAUUAUAUACUCCAUUUUUUUAUACUUUGUGAACAGUAGAGCUUUAAGUAACCCCCUAAUGACAGACAUAAAUUAAUGGCACUGCAUUAGCACUGAGAAUUUAAAUAUAUAUAUAUGUAUUUUAAAAACACGUACAGAAAUACAGGUUACAAAAUAUAAAUGAUAUAACAAGAAGGCUCUGAUAUAUGCAGCUGAGACAUCAUGCACAUCCAUAUUUAGUUUUUUUUUUCUGAGAAAGGAAAAGGACCAGCAAAACAACAAAGACGAAAUCAGUUCCUUCUACAAUCAGUUACCACAAAUAGGAGA
This is a long non-coding RNA of Sinocyclocheilus grahami, 512 nucleotides long. RefSeq lists it as uncharacterized. Lineage: Eukaryota; Metazoa; Chordata; Actinopteri; Cypriniformes; Cyprinidae. The record is from RefSeq and is a predicted model, not a curated record. The transcript is spliced from 2 exons.